CGGAUCGCAGGCUGCAACCCGCCUGCGUGAAGUCGGAAUCGCUAGUAAUCGCGGAUCAGCAUGCCGCGGUGAAUACGUUCCCGGGCCUUGUACACACCGCCCGUCACACCAUGAGAGUCGGGAACACCCGAAGUCCGUAGCCUAACCGCAAGGAGGGCGCGGCCGAAGGUGGGUUCGAUAAUUGGGGUGAAGUCGUAACAAGGUAAC
This 207-nucleotide ribosomal RNA is filed under the name uncultured bacterium. Its description in RNAcentral is "partial 16S ribosomal RNA". It matches the Rfam family "Bacterial small subunit ribosomal RNA", at positions 1294 to 1500 of the family's 1533-position model. The record is from RNAcentral.